This 241-nucleotide ribosomal RNA is filed under the name uncultured bacterium. RNAcentral describes it as "partial 16S ribosomal RNA". It matches the Rfam family "Bacterial small subunit ribosomal RNA", at positions 67 to 334 of the family's 1533-position model. The record is from RNAcentral.
CGCCCGUAGCAAUACGGGAGCGGCAGACGGGUGAGUAACACGUGGGAACGUGCCUUUCGGUUCGGAACAACCCAGGGAAACUUGGGCUAAUACCGGAUACGCCCUUACGGGGAAAGAUUUAUCGCCGAAAGAUCGGCCCGCGUCUGAUUAGCUAGUUGGUGGGGUAAUGGCCCACCAAGGCGACGAUCAGUAGCUGGUCUGAGAGGAUGAUCAGCCACAUUGGGACUGAGACACGGCCCAA